UACAGGGGGGUGCAAACGUUGCUCGGAAUCAUUGGGCGUAAAGCGCACGUAGGCGGUUCGUUAUGUCGGAUGUGAAAGCCCUUGGCUUAACCGAGGAAGUGCAUCCGAAACUGGCGAGCUAGAGUACGAAAGAGGAUCGCGGAAUUCCCGGUGUAGAGGUGAAAUUCGUAGAUAUCGGGAGGAACACCGGUGGCGAAGGCGGCGAUCUGGGUCGAUACUGACGCUGAGGCACGAAAGCGUGGGGAGCAAACAGGG
RNAcentral lists this ribosomal RNA (255 nucleotides) under uncultured bacterium. Its description in RNAcentral is "partial 16S ribosomal RNA". It matches the Rfam family "Bacterial small subunit ribosomal RNA", at positions 524 to 777 of the family's 1533-position model. The record is from RNAcentral.